CAGUCGCCGCGGUAAUACGUAGGGUGCGAGCGUUAAUCGGAAUUACUGGGCGUAAAGCGUGCGCAGGCGGUUGUGUAAGACAGGUGUGAAAUCCCCGGGCUUAACCUGGGAACUGCGCUUGUGACUGCACAGCUAGAGUAUGGCAGAGGGGGGUGGAAUUCCACGUGUAGCGGUGAAAUGCGUAGAUAUCGGAAGGAACACCUGUGGCGAAAGCGGCUCACUGGACCAUUUCUGACGCUGAUGCACGAAAGCUAGGGGAGCAAACAGGAUUAGAUACCCCCGUAGUCCCUGUCUCUUAUAU
This 301-nucleotide ribosomal RNA is filed under the name uncultured bacterium. Its description in RNAcentral is "partial 16S ribosomal RNA". It matches the Rfam family "Bacterial small subunit ribosomal RNA", at positions 509 to 809 of the family's 1533-position model. The record is from RNAcentral.